CCCAAGCCUGGGUAAUUUAUAAAGAACAGAAGCCUCAUAGAUCUAAGGCUUCUGUUCUUUAUAAAGAAAGACGUAAUUUAUAAAGAAAAGCCUCAAUGAUGUAUGAUCAUUGGCUCAUAGGUCUGUUGGCUCUACAAGAAGUGUGGUGCCAGCAUCUGCUUGGCUUCUGGUGAGGCCUCAGGAAGCCUCCAAUCAUGGCAGAAGGCAAGGGGAGCAGGAGCUUCACAUGAUGAAAGAGGGCAUAAGACGGGAGAAGGGUCCCUUUGAAACAGCCAGCUCUCGCGAGAGCUCAGAGUGAGAACUCACUAUCACAAGAACAGCCUCAAGCCACCGAUGAGGGAACUACCGCCACGAUCCAAACUCCUCUCCCCAGGCCCCACCUCCAACAUUGGGGAUCACAUUUCAACAUGAGGCUUGGAGGGACACACAUUCGUACCAUGUCACACUUCCCCAGUCUCACACCCCAGGAAUCUGGGUCAGUCCUUCCCAUCAAUAUAUUACUGUCUUUUGCAUGACUGGGGGCUUUCUGGGGAAGAAGGGGCGUCCCCCAACAAAUGGCUUAGAUCAAGCUGACACGUGGUGGGGGCAUCCGCUUUCACUCCUUGUGAAAACAGAUAUUUCUGCUUUCUCUUUUGGCACCCAAGGAAAAAUAUAUUUGCUGCAACAGAAACCAGAAGGAUGGUGUCCAAGAGCUUCAGAGACGGGGAGUCACAGCACCCCCAGCCUUUGAGUCCUGUGGUGUUUGGGGAUUUCAGAAGCCACAGACAGACAUGGAGAAAAUGUCCCACAUGACUCUCCUUCCAAGCAUUCCUUUGCUUUCACAGAAUGAGAAAUAAUGCUCCUGAAUGCACAUGGCAAGGCCUGAAGAAGGUUGACUGAAGCUGGCAGAAGAUAGGAGAGCUCUGUGGUGGAGGGAGCUGUUUCUGGAGCCAGACGCACCCUCAGUGGAGCCUGAGGUCCCUGCUACUACUGAGUGAGUCUUUCUGAGCCCUGGUUUCCUUAUUUGCAAAGUGUGAGAAGGUAACAGUUCUUUUCCUAUGGCUUGUUGGAAAACGCAAGUGAAAGAGUGCAUCAUAUCUGGCACAUCACGUGCUAAUAAAGUUUGCAAUAAUUAUCUGAAGACAAUAGAACUCAUUCAGAGACGCAAGGAAAUCAAUGUAGUUUUUUUUUCUUUAAGUUCCAGGAUACAUAGGCAGAAUGUGCAGGUUUGUUACAUCGCUGUACAUGUACCAUGGGUUUGCUGUACUUAUCAACCCAUCGUCUUCGUUUUAAGACCUGCAUAUGUUAGGUAUUUGUCCCAGUGCUCUCCCUCUCCUUGUCCCCGAAGGCCCAAGAGGCCCCGGUGUGUGAUGAAUCAAAACCACAAUGAGAUACCAUCUCACACCAGUCAGAAUGGUGAUUAUUAAAAAGUCAGGAAACAGGAGAUGCUGGUGAGGCUGUGGAGAAAUAGGAACGCUUUUACACUGUUGAUGGGAGUAUAAAUUAGUGCAACUACUGUGGAAGACAGUGUGGUGAUUCCUCAAAGAUCUAUAACUAGAAAUAUCAUUCAAUCCUGCAAUCCCAUUAUUGGGUAUAUACCCAAUGUAGAUUUUUGACACGUAGGUUUUCUUGUGAAUUGAAAACUAUCAACUUUAGGCUAAAAGCAAGAACUGUUUUUUCUUUAUUUGGCUCAGUUUUUCAUUAGAAAAGAAACCUCCCCAAAUGUAAGGAAGCAAAUAAAUGAAAGGAAAAUUACAACCGUGGGGAGUCAUUACGUUGGAAGGCCUCCCUUGGGACAGGGCGGAAUAUAAUCGCUCCAUUGCUGCAGUCACGAACCAUUAGAGAAUGCCCUUCCCGGAACUGGGCGAAGUUUCCACAGGUGAUGCCUGCAAAGGAUGGGUCCUAUUGGCCUCUGAGGCCUGUGUUUAGGUGGCUGCUCUUUCCAUAUGGAAAAUCCCCAUUGAAUAUGGGAAUCAUGGCCAUGGGAUCCUUCACAUGAUGGUCAGGUGUCCUUCCUAGUUCAUUGCCCUGAAGUCCAAGCACCAAAAGGCACCGACCUGUUGAAAACAUGAGGUCAUUCUGCUAUAACCAGAGCUUUUCUGAACCCCAGCCAUUGGAAAGCCUUGUUAGUAUGAUGCCCAUCCAUUAGAAUUGUUAGUGCUGGCCGGGCGCAGUGGCUCAAGCCUGUAAUCCCAGCACUUUGGGAGGCCAAGGCGGGUGGAUCACGAGGUCAAGAGAUCGAGACCAUCCUGGUCAACAUGGUGAAACCCCGUCUCUACUAAAAAUACAAAAAAUUAGCUGGGCACGGUGGCGUGUGCCUGUAAUCCCAGCUACUCAGGAGGCUGAGGCAGGAGAAUUGCCUGAACCCAGGAGGCGGAGGUUGCGGUGAGCCGAGAUCGCGCCAUUGCACUCCAGCCUGGGUAACAAGAGCGAAACUCCGUCUCAAAAAAAAAAAAAAAAAAAAAAAAAAAAGAA
Long non-coding RNA from Callithrix jacchus (white-tufted-ear marmoset), 2454 nucleotides. RefSeq lists it as uncharacterized. NCBI's taxonomy places the organism in Eukaryota, Metazoa, Chordata, Mammalia, Primates, Cebidae. The record is from RefSeq and is a predicted model, not a curated record.